This 253-nucleotide ribosomal RNA is filed under the name uncultured bacterium. RNAcentral describes it as "partial 16S ribosomal RNA". It matches the Rfam family "Bacterial small subunit ribosomal RNA", at positions 524 to 776 of the family's 1533-position model. The record is from RNAcentral.
UACGUAGGGCGCAAGCGUUAUCCGGAAUUAUUGGGCGUAAAGAGCUCGUAGGCGGUCUGUCACGUCGGAUGUGAAAAUCCAGGGCUUAACCCUGGACCUGCAUUCGAUACGGGCAGACUAGAGUUCGGUAGGGGAGACUGGAAUUCCUGGUGUAGCGGUGAAAUGCGCAGAUAUCAGGAGGAACACCGGUGGCGAAGGCGGGUCUCUGGGCCGAUACUGACGCUGAGGAGCGAAAGCGUGGGGAGCGAACAGG